CCUACGGGCGGCUGCAGUGGGGAAUAUUGGACAAUGGGGGGAACCCUGAUCCAGCCAUGCCGCGUGUGUGAAGAAGGCCCUCGGGUUGUAAAGCACUUUCAGUGAGGAAGAACGCCUGGUGGUUAAUACCCAUCAGGAAAGACAUCACUCACAGAAGAAGCACCGGCUAACUCCGUGCCAGCAGCCGCGGUAAUACGGAGGGCGCGAGCGUUAAUCGGGAUUACUGGGCGUAAAGCGCGCGUAGGUGGCUUGAUAAGCCGGUUGUGAAAGCCCCGGGCUCAACCUGGGAACGGCAUCCGGAACUGUCAAGCUAGAGUGCAGGAGAGGAAGGUAGAAUUCCCGGUGUAGCGGUGAAAUGCGUAGAGAUCGGGAGGAAUACCAGUGGCGAAGGCGGCCUUCUGGACUGACACUGACACUGAGGUGCGAAAGCGUGGGUAGCAAACAGGAUUAGAUACCCCGGUAGUC
This 465-nucleotide ribosomal RNA is filed under the name Vreelandella stevensii. RNAcentral describes it as "partial 16S ribosomal RNA". It matches the Rfam family "Bacterial small subunit ribosomal RNA", at positions 338 to 795 of the family's 1533-position model. The record is from RNAcentral. Lineage: Bacteria; Pseudomonadati; Pseudomonadota; Gammaproteobacteria; Oceanospirillales; Halomonadaceae.